AACGCAUAUUGCGCCCUUUGGUAUUCCGAAGGGCAUGCCUGUUCGAGCGUCAUUACACCCCUCAAACAUCACUGUUUGAUGUUGGGUACUGCCGGAAGGCAUACCUAAAAAUCAGCGACGGUUACAAUCAACCUCAGGCGUACAAACAUCGCUAUGGUGGAAGAUGGGAGCCUGUCUCUUUAAUGAAAAUCUAAAUGUUGACCUCGGAUCAGGUAGGAAUACCCGCUGAACUUAA
Molecule: unclassified non-coding RNA, 235 nt
Filed under: uncultured Ascomycota
Lineage: Eukaryota; Fungi; Ascomycota
Description: sequence contains ITS2
Rfam family: 5.8S ribosomal RNA (bases 1-52)
Source: RNAcentral